UGCCAGCAGCCGCGGUAAUACGGAGGGUGCGAGCGUUAAUCGGAAUUACUGGGCGUAAAGCGCGCGUAGGCGGUCUGAUCAGUCGGAUGUGAAAGCCCUGGGCUUAACCUGGGAAUUGCAUUCGAUACUGUCAGGCUAGAGUAUGGGAGAGGGAAGUGGAAUUUCCGGUGUAGCGGUGAAAUGCGUAGAUAUCGGAAGGAACACCAGUGGCGAAGGCGACUUCCUGGCCCAAUACUGACGCUGAGGUGCGAAAGCGUGGGUAGCGAACAGGAUUAGAUA
This 279-nucleotide ribosomal RNA is filed under the name uncultured bacterium. RNAcentral describes it as "partial 16S ribosomal RNA". It matches the Rfam family "Bacterial small subunit ribosomal RNA", at positions 506 to 784 of the family's 1533-position model. The record is from RNAcentral.